This is a long non-coding RNA of Drosophila subpulchrella, 4622 nucleotides long. RefSeq lists it as uncharacterized. NCBI's taxonomy places the organism in Eukaryota, Metazoa, Arthropoda, Insecta, Diptera, Drosophilidae. The record is from RefSeq and is a predicted model, not a curated record. The transcript has 4 exons.
CUUCAAAGUAAUAAUUUUGGUAGCCUAACGAAUAAACUACAAAUUAAAUUACACAUUUUUUUAACUUGACAAACAUAUUUAAGAAUGGAAAAUAUAUAUUGUGGCGCAUCCAAAGAAACAAAACAAGAACAGUUACCAAAAUGUGAAUAAAAAUAUAAGCCUUGCAAUUACAACUUGAGGCAGCAGCUAUCAAUAUUAUAAUAACUAUGAUAACGAUCCAUAUAACGUCACGCAAAAUGAUCAUGGAAGCCACAAUGUAUUCAUGCUUUCCGAACUUGUGACGUGUCUUAUCGCGAACUAUUAGAUCAAUAUCCAGCACCACUACCAUUAUCAAAAUGAGCACUACGGAGAAGCUAACCAAUAUGAGAAACCAGUAAUACUUGAAAAAAAAACCUAGAAGGAUGGCAUGUAUUAUGACAACUAAUCCGGCUGCAACGAGGUAGGCUAACGGAAUUUUAUGGCCGAUCUGGCAGCGAACGAAUCUCGAAUAUACGACCAUAGCCAAAAUCACAAACGCCAGAAUUCCGCAAGGUAUCAAAGUCUGGUUCGGGUUAGAACUAAUCAAAAUUAAGAAUAUAGAAAGCGAACCAAGGACUUACCACCCACGGUUCAAACCAAACUGACACCGCGGUUAGUAAGAUGGUAUGGACAAUGAUCCAUAUAAUGAAGAAUAUAAUCUUGACGGGCCUUUUUUGGAGAAGUUUCAUUGCGAAGCACAAGAAGGCCUGAACUACUAUAAAAGCAAUAAUGGCUGGAAUGGCAAAGACGUACGAUGUACCGGCAAUAUACGAGUGGGCCGGUGGGUAGCACAGGAAGAUGAACGUUGGAAUGAGGUUAAAUCUGUAUGACGGGAAAUGCCCGGAAACUGAAUCGACAAACAAUGAAACAAUGGCUUUAUUAUAUGUAUUUUUAAUAAAUCUAUCAAUCCAAUAAGGUAAAGUGGAAAGGGAAAUAUAAUGUCACUGUAGAGGAACAUGGCAGCUAAUACGAAAUCCUCUUCCUUAAACUGGUUCUCGUUGGUUUUGCCGCUAAUCAACAAUAAUAAAUAAUGCCGCUUACAAAUUUAGGAUGAUAUCGUAAGUAUUUCCAAGGGGAAUACCGGAAGGGGCUGAUACAAAAGCACAUCAUCAUAGAAAUUGUGAUUAUAACAACCAUAGCGACAUGCCCAAUAUACCUGUGUCUUAAUAAGAAACUUCUUGCUUUCAUGUGGAAAACAAAAAAGGUUAUUAGCAUUACGGUGAAAAUCAAGUUGAUCUGCGAUGGACCAGAUAUCCAGAUGUUUGACUGACAUGAAAUUAGUUACAAAAAUGUUUGACUGCUUACAUCAUGAACUUAAGUUUUUUAUUAUUAUUUAAUUUAUAUUAUUUCACAUAAAUUUAAAUGAAAACAUUCCUAGUCAUCAUCUAUCCAACCCGCGAGUUGUAGAAUGAACAUGAAUAGAUGUACGACGUCAUGGAAAAGGAUCAUCGAAGCAAUAAUAAAAUCUAAUUCGUCGUACUGAUACUUGUGAAUUUUGCCGCCUACAAUCAAUUGAAGGUCAUAAACUAUAAAUAUAGAAUAAACGAUCACGCCAAAUGCUAUAUACACAAUCCAGAGACUCCUGAUAAAGAUGGCUAGUAUGCCCAGAGCUAAUAAGGCAAGACCUAAGAUGAAUAUUAAUGUGUAACACGAGGUGAAGUCGCAGGGUGCGAAUCUUGCGAAGAGAUAAAGACAGGCGACCAGGACGGCGCAUAUUGCGAAGGCAAUUAAAACCUGCAAGAAGAAAGUCGAAUUAAGAUUUGUCGAUAUAUCAUUGAUUACUGACCUACCAGAAGCGGACGAUAAUGUACGGCAAGGCAGGACACAAUGACGGCAUGACAUAUGACGUAUAUUACCAGCAAAAUCCAUUUAAUCGGCGACUUUCGGAAAACACCUGGGCAGUAGCACAUCACAAUAUGAAUUAUAAAUAUGAUAGCAAUUGCUGGGAUUGGAAUCCACCAGUUAAUAAUUAAAAAUCGCCUAAUAGGCCUUGUCAUGAUACAUAUCGUCAUUGCCAAUGAUGUAAAGGUCAAGUUGAUCUGCAAAAGGUAAUCGGAUAAGACGAACAAAUGGUAAACGUGUAAUAGUCUAUACUCACGGCCACUAUCGUGAGGACCUUGGUGACAAACCUCCGACGCACGGCCGGAUCUUCAAACACGUUGUGCUCAUAAAUCCUCUUCUUGUUACACAUUUUAUCAAAUCCAAAAGACCGUGGUAGUGUAUAUGUAUAGAGUGUUUGUGUAUACGUGUGUUAGGUGUGUUUUAUAGUAAUAUGACAGGAAACUCUUGGAACUAAAGUUGGAAAAGUAUCUUUCAAAGAAAGAUACACCAGACUGUUGUGACAAAAUUUUAAUUAAUGUAUUAUUACUUAAAACUAAUAUUAAUAUUAUUGCAUAAUGAUAAUUACUUGAAAUGAUGCAAGUGACUUAACCAUUAUUUGAUAUAAUUGAUUAUAUAAAGUUACAUGGAAAAUGUACAAGGAAAAGUGUUACCCACAAUUCUAAUUUGAAAGCUGUGAAUAAACUCAGGUUACCUUUGCGAGUUAUAUCAACAUAUAAAACACAGUUUUAUCCGCAUAGUUUCACUUUAAUUUAAACGACAUUGUUACUAGUCCUCAUCUAUCAAACCCGCGAUCUCUAGUAUGAACAUAAAGAGGUAUGCGACGUCAUGGAAAAGGGUCAUGGCAGCAAUAAUAUAAUCUGAUUCGUCGUACUGUUCCUUGUGAAUUUGGCCGCCUACAAUCAACUGAAGGUCAUAAACUAUAAAUGUAGAGUAUGCGAUCACGGCAAAGCCUAAAUAUACCACAUAGACACUUCUUAGAUAGAGAGCUAAAAUGCUCAGAGCUAACACGGUAAUACCGAAGAUGAAAAUUAAUGUGUAGCAAGCAGUGAAAUCGCAGGGUGCAAACCUUGCGAAGACACAAAGACAUGCGACCAGGAUGGCACAUAAUCCAAAGCCCAUUAAAACCUGCAAAAAUAAAGACGAUUAAGGAUUCGGCGAUAUGUCAAUGGCUUACCAAAAGAGGACGAAAUAGAACUGCAAGGCAGGACACUAAAACAGCAUGACAUAUGACGUAUACUACCAACAACACCCAGUUAAGGGGCGACUUUCGGAAGAGCGAUUGGAAGCAGCACAUCAUAAUAUGAAUUAUAAAUAUGAUGACAGCGGCGGGGAUCCAAAUCCACAAGUUAAUUUGUAAAAAACUCCUAAUAGGUCCUACCAAUAUACAAAUCAUCAUUACCAGUGUGGUAAAGGUCAAGUUGAUCUACAUAUGGCAAUCGGAUUAGUUUGUUUUACAAAAUACGUAUAGUAGUCUAUACCCACGCCCACUAUCGCAAGGACCUUAGUGGCAAACAUCCGACGGACGGCCGGAUCUUCAAACACGUUGGUCUCAUAUCUCUUCUUCCUGUUACACAUUUUACCAAGUCCAAAAGAUCGUGGAUGUGUACACGUAUACAUGUAUCAGUGUGUUUAUAUAAUGACUUGACAGGAAACCCUAAUGACCUUAGUUGGAAGAGCAUCUUUCAAAGAAAGAUACACCAGCCUAAAUGAUAACAUAAAGGAUACAUAGAAAAUGCACAUGAAAUACGAAUUCCUAUAUUUUCUAUUUGAAAGCUAUGAAUAAAAGCAGGUCACCUAUGAGAGCUCUAUCAACAUUUCCAAUAUUUUUUUAUCCGCAUUUAUUCACUUUAAUUUAGAUGACAAUUUUACUAGUUUUCAUCUAUCCAACCAGCGAGUCGCAGUAUGAACAUAAAGAGGUGUACUACAUCAUGGAAAAGGGUCAUGGAAGCAAUAAUAUAAUCUAAUUCAUCGUACUGCCUUUUGUGAAGUUUGCCGCCUAUAAUCAACUGAAGGUCAUAAACUAUGAAUAUAGUAUAGGCGAAUACGCCGAAGGCCAAAUAUACCACCCGAACACUUCUGAAAAAAAAUGCUAAUAUGCCCAAAAGAAUCAGGGUAACACCAAUCAACAUAAUGAAUGUGUAGCACGAGGUAAAAUCGCAAGGUGCGAAUCUUGCGAAUAUACACAAUGCCGCGACUAGGACAGCACAUACUCCGAAGGCCAGCAAAACCUGCAAGAAGAAAGAUGAGUAAAGUUUCGGCUUUAUAUCACCGGAACCUGGCUUACCAGGAGAGGAGAAAAUUUAACUGCAAGGAAGCAAACCAACACCGCAUGGCAUAUGACAUAUAUUACCAGCAAAAUCCAUUUGAUAGGGGACUGUCGAAAGAGGUAGCGGCAGCAACACAUCAUAAUGUGAAUUGCGAAUAUGAUGAUCGUGGCGGCGAGACCAAUAUACCAGUGUGUUUGUAUAAAUUGCUUGACGGACCGCGUCGUUAUGGCAAUCGCCAUGGCCCCUGAUGUAAAAGCCAAGUUAAUCUGCAAUAGGCGAUCGGAUUAAUAGCAUCGAUCUGAACUCGUAUUGACUCCAAACUCACGGCCACUAUUAAAAGGACCUUGGUGACAAACAUCCGACGGACCCGCGGAUCUUCGAAGAUAUCUUCUUCCAACGUCUCCCUCCUGUCAAACUUGCAACACCGCAUUUUAUCGAGUUCCUAAUAUCGUGGAGGUGUAUAUAUACGUAUAUUUGUGUGCUUAUAUAUUGUGU